AUGCUUAGUACGGCGAGUGAGCGGCAAAAGCUCAAAUUUGAAAUCUGGUACCUUCGGUGCCCGAGUUGUAAUUUGGAGAGGGCAACUUUGGGGCCGUUCCUUGUCUAUGUUCCUUGGAACAGGACGUCAUAGAGGGUGAGAAUCCCGUGUGGCGAGGAGUGCGGUUCUUUGUAAAGUGCCUUCGAAGAGUCGAGUUGUUUGGGAAUGCAGCUCUAAGUGGGUGGUAAAUUCCAUCUAAAGCUAAAUAUUGGCGAGAGACCGAUAGCGAACAAGUACAGUGAUGGAAAGAUGAAAAGAACUUUGAAAAGAGAGUGAAAAAGUACGUGAAAUUGUUGAAAGGGAAGGGCAUUUGAUCAGACAUGGUGUUUUGUGCCCUCUGCUCCUUGUGGGUAGGGGAAUCUCGCAUUUCACUGGGCCAGCAUCAGUUUUGGUGGCAGGAUAAAUCCAUAGGAAUGUAGCUUGCCUCGGUAAGUAUUAUAGCCUGUGGGAAUACUGCCAGCUGGGACUGAGGACUGCGACGUAAGUCAAGGAUGCUGGCAUAAUGGUUAUAUGCCGCCCGUCUUGAAC
Molecule: ribosomal RNA, 567 nt
Filed under: Saccharomyces cerevisiae (brewer's yeast)
Lineage: Eukaryota; Fungi; Ascomycota; Saccharomycetes; Saccharomycetales; Saccharomycetaceae
Description: eukaryotic LSU rRNA
Rfam family: Eukaryotic large subunit ribosomal RNA
Source: RNAcentral